CGCGCGGCGGCGGCGGCGGGGCUCGGUGGCGGGCCGGGCCGGGCCGGGUCGGCCGGCGGCGACGCGCUCGCCCGGGGCCUCGGGAGCGGCCUGUAGCCCGAGGGGGAGCUGGCGUCGCACCGGGGGGUGGAGGGCUGUUGGGUGAGGCGGCAGCGGCGGCCCCUGCGCUGCCCCCCACCCCUCCCGCGUCCCGGUAGGUGGGCGGGAGGGGGGAGAGGCCUUUCCGAGCCGCCCGAGGGGAAAAUCCCGUGUAGGCUCUCCGGUUCCGCUUCCCGGUGUUGCUGGGGGAGGGGGCUCUGGCGUGGUAAGUUCUUGCCGUUUUAAACCUGGCAGUUGUCCGGAGGCUGAAGGUGUCUGAGGUGGGCCCGAGGCCACCGUGUUAAUCCCACUCGUGUAUACAAAAGUACAUGGGAUGCAUAAAGCCUAACGCAACGAUCCUGUGAGCGCUCCCUUUGCCACUGUGAUCGCCACGCUGGCCUGUGCUGGCAAGGGCUGCCGUUAGGUGUUUGUUGCUAAUGAGUGCCUACCUCGUCAUCCCCUUCUGAUAGCGAUAGAGGGCCGGGAAAGAUGGUGGUACAGUUUGAGAAAAAUACUCCAUCUAAACAGCAACAAAAAUAAAGGUGAUUGAUGAGAUGACAUCAACAGUUUCUCAUGGGAACCAGUAUCACUCUGGAAAGAUGCUCACAUUUGUAUGCUUGUCUUUCGACUAUGAGACAGACUCCUUAACCCUUCAUUUUUUUUCCCAAACGUCACUGGUUGGAAUGAUUUGAUACAGGGAGAGAACACUUUAUUUCCUUUAGAGGCUUAAGGUUCAGCCAGAGCCAUUAGUCUGCUGUUCACAUACUUUCCGAAAGCUGUCAGAAAAGGAGCUCGCUCCUGGGGUUGCAUUUUUUAUUGUGCUGUUCUUUCCUUUGCAUUCUCACGUCUUCAUCUUAAGUAAGGCCUAAGGUGUCAGCCUGCUUUCCAGGCAAGUCCAGUUUUGCUUCCUUGUUGACUUGUUUUCAUGUUUCCAAACCUAGCUGGGAAUUUUUGAGUGGCAGAUGUGUUUCUGGCGUUUUGGAGCACAUUUGCACUCCUCUGUCUGAGCCUUUUGGUUAAAUGCUUGCCGUGUGCAGUGUUUUAAGCUUUCUGGUGUUUUGCUUGGGCCUUCUCUUUGGCUUUUUCCCUCUGUGUUUUUGGGUUUGGUUUUUUUUUUGAACCGCAAAGCUUCAAAACAAAUUUAUCUUAGUAGGAUGCCCAUAGCUGCUUCUGUCUAAAAGAAAGAAGAUUAUUCGCUGGCUUCUCGCAAUGCCCGUGUAGUCAAAAAACACCAAAGCAAAACCCAAACCCCACGCAUCUGUGUGAUGUAAAUAUAUUCAAUACCAAAGAGAUACACAGAAUUUUUUACAGACUGUUAGAAUCCGUUUGUAAAUGUUGCAAAGCCUGGUCAGUCUAGUCAGAACUGAGUAAUAAUUUCAAUGAAUAAUCUCAUUUCUGUUGGUGACUUGAGACCUUCAAGUAAUAGAAAUGAGCCUACAAGAACAUGUAAUAGCACAAAAUGCAAGAUACUACAUGUAUGGAUUAGUUAAGUAUUUAUAGUAUAAAUCCAGGAACCCUCCAGCAGAGUAAUGGGAAAAUACCUGGGUUUAUUAGUCAAGGAUGAAAGGAAUCUGCCAAUUUAACGCAGUUGUGAAAAAACAAAUGUAACUGUGGUGUGCAUGCAGUCAAACUUCUGGGUGACUAGUGAGACAUUACUGUGUCCAGUUCUGAUAAACCGUGGCCAGGAAAGACAAACUUGUACAGAAAUACACCCAGGAGGGUUACUGGAAAAGAACAAAGCUUAUCUACAAGAGCACGCUAGGAAUAUUUGUCUGAUUAACCCAGGAAAAGCAAAUGCAGAGGAGGGUUAUGAGUAACCAGUAAGGCAGGGUAGAGUCAAGCUCAAGCGAGUAGGCAUUUAAGCUAAUGAACAAUAUUGGUAGAAGAGCAUGUAUCUAAACUGAUUAUACUCUAGAUAGAAAACGAAGAGCUAGCUCAGAGGACUGAGGGUUUCACCUUCUGUUAAGAACAGUGAGAGGCGAACAUGUCUAACAGGCUUUAAAAUGUAUGUCGCUUCAGAACAGGAAGAUGAUGUGCGAUCACACAAAAUAGAUUUAAGUGAUCUGUGUUGAAAGGAGGAGAUUUGGGCCUCCCUUCUUACUCAUCCUGAGACUGGAACAAUUUCCUGAUGUUCAAUACUUCUCAGAAAGAAGCUGUCGACUGCUGCUCCGUGGUGAGGAUGAUGAUGAGAGUGAGAAGGCAAUGGUUCAGAAAGAGGUAACAGGAACGCUCCCACUGGAAAGGUUUACACCAGGUGUUCAUUCUCAUAGAUUACUGAGUUUGAUGGGCAGCAAAGCGUUUUUUUCACUUAAUGAUGGUGGGGUGAUGUGUUCCCGGAAUAAAGAAACAUGUAUAAAACUGAAGUAUAGAGGGGCAGUAUAUAGAGCAUGGAGGGUGGAAAAGGCAGGAUGGUCAACUGGAGGAGAUGCUGGAUUCCUUGAAUGGAUGACUGAUCCCAAGGAUCUAUCUCAGACACUUCGCUUGCGAGGCUGAACACCUUACCAUUGCCCUGUUUUUCUAGCCUUCACCCUCAGCUGAUUUUGAUUCAUCUGGGGAGAAUGACAAUGUUGAAAAUUCAGCUAAUAGGCGCUGGAGGCUCAGCCCUAAAAACAAAUACAGUAUCAGUUAUGUGGGGUUAUUUAUAGUGAGGUGGAGAACAUGGGGCCGUUUAGGUGCUGCCAGUUUUCUUUUAUGCAUGUUGCUUACACUUCUGCUAUUCUUCACCAAACAGGGAGGCAGGGGAAAAGUAGUACAUUUCGGGAGAAGAGAAACUUCCUGCCAGAAAAGAUUGAACUGGGCAAGGCUUGCCAGGCAAAUAUCUCAGCCCACAGCAUGCUUUCCCAGUGUGUCUUCCUUUGCAGCUUCUCACAGGACACUCGGGAGUCAUCUAGUCCCUCUGUGCUGUACAGCUGGGUUUUUGCUGGCUUCCUAGGAUAUAGAAGCUUCAGUUUUAUUGCUCACUUCUCAAGUCUUUUUAUCUCUUAUAUCGAACUAUCUUAUUUCAAACUUCAGCAGCCUGUGGCUAACCACACUUUUAUGAUAGGCUGGAGUUUCUCAAUAAAUACUGAAUUUUUAUCUUAUGCAGAAACCAACAUACUGUUUCAUGUGGGUUUUGCUAGCUAUUGUAGCCUCUGACUACAUGUUAGGGUGUGUGUAUGAAAAAGGAACAAGGCUUCUAACAUCUAUUUUCAUUCCAAAGCCAGGGUUUGCUAAUUCUUCAGUAGUAACAGUAUCAGUGGCAAGAUGUAAACUGGAGCAAUACGAAAAAUGGGGAAAACCAUAGCCCCCUCCCUUUGAGAGCUGAUGAUGGUCUCCUGACACUGAAGCACAAGAGAACGUGUGAAAUAGAGCCUGUCUACUCUGCAAAUUGUUCUAGUGUAUAUUUGGUUUGCAUGGUCAAGAGCUCUUUUAAGUUCCUGUUAGUAAGAACAACUGUAAUUUCCUGUCCUUGCUUACUGUCAUAUUUUUACAUUCAGGCUGUCGAUGAAUGCAGUGCUGUCAUCACAUGGAUUGCUUCUAACCAUGUGUCAUUACAGUGUAGCCAGCGUUAAGGAUCAAAAUUGUGUUUAGCCUUUAAUAUUUCUUGCUAAAUUAAUUAUCUUGUUAGAACUGUCCAUAAAGUUGUUAUCAAAUUCAGGAUGCAACUAACUGGAGUGCCCUGUGCCUAGCAUUUUCAGGUGAUCGCACUGUUAGUUUCCCUUUCAUCCCAGCAGUAAUAUUGUCCCUUUUUUUUUACUGACUGCAAAAUUGUAGGUGUUUGACAGGUUUGUUCAUGGAAACAGCAGCUUUCUAGAGGAGAGCAGGAGCCGUCUGAGUGCACUUGUAAAGGGAAAGGAAGUUGGACCUCCUCUGUCCUAUCUGGCAGCGGUCGGGUGGCAGCUCCAAUUGCCCAAGAGUUCGACCAGUGGCAGCAAGCGCCGUCUCCAGCCUGGUGGAGGGCAUGGAGUGGGAUUUAACUUACUGCACUGGAAGAGCAUGUUAUGGAAGCUAGGUUUCAUUAACUUCACUGCUUGUAGGCCAGUUUGGGUUUGCUUUUGUUCUUAAGGAAAUCUAAGUGCUUGUUUUUGAAGGUAUAGUAGGUCUGCUUUUGUUUUGUAGUGGUGAAGCCUAGUGUGAGCUCUGAGUGAGAAGACUUUUGCGUCUGUGUGGAACCGUACUGAAGUCAGGGGUGCUGUGUGCAAAGGUGAGAUAGCAGUUCUCCAUAGACAUUGUAAGAUCAGAGCCAAAUUUGCAGUGAUGAAUUGCAGUCAUCGGUGUCAGCAUUAGUUGGGGUUAAGAGUUCUCUAAGCUUAGGGAGUUGUCCGUGUACCAUCCCGGGCUUAGCAGCCUAAGCUGGUAAACUAGGGUGCAUGGGGACUUGAAGCUCAGCUGAUCCACCAAGUGUAGGAAGUGUGACGGUGAUCAGCAUUGCCGUGCUUUAGUUCUGGUACCUGGUUUUGAGAAGGCAAUUCACAAAGCUGAAGUAAGCGCUAGGAAAUUCUUGGUAAAAUUGAGACUUUAGCACUUGGAUUCCCAGAAGUCGAGUGUGCUGAGCGGGGAGAUCUUAAACCAGCUGAUUGGAAAUGUUGCGUGGGCAGCUCUUUGCUCCUCAGUUUAAGUUGCUUAUAGCCUUCAUUUAAACAUAUUUAGAGUCAGGGAGCCAAAAUCUGAAAUGGUCCCUUGUACUUUCUGCAACUCUGUAGGGGUGUAAGCAGACCCUGCCUGCUUGCUGGGUUAGCUCCCCCACUCUGCCCAGACCCACAUCGCCUUUUUCCCCCUUACAGCUGUGCUGGGCCAUUUCAGCUCACUGAAUUUGUAGAAAGUGAAUCCAGACUAGAAAUGCAAAUUAUUUUAUAAUUGCUAGCUGCCAGGGACUCAACCGUGAAAGAGGAACAGAGUUAAUGCCGUCCUCAGCUUGAAACAGUUUAAACCCCCACCUAUUGCUUCCCAGGAGACUGUUUUGUGUUGUGAAGGAAAACAAACUAGAUCACAUUCCCGCAGAACAAGAUUCAAUUAAUGAGUUUUACCUUACAACUAGAGAGGACAGGUGUGAACACAAUUACUGUAGCUCCACCAAUAGAUACUCAUUAAAUUGCCUUACCUGCCACUUUCAAUUGUGUGCUUCAGUCCCCAGGGUUUGGGUUUUUUUGUUUUUUUACAGUUUGAAAGAGAUGGAGACAAUAGGAGUAGGCAUACCAAAGUCUUCUCGCAGUCAUAAUUUAAUUUUCUAACCAGAAAGGAACAUUAAGGCUUCAGUCCCAUGGGUUUAUUUCCGAGGAUGGCCAGUUUGGUAGUGCUGCACAUUGGGACAGCUUUCUGUUGUUAUCAUCUCAUUAAUGUUAUUUCCUGACAUUGCAGAUUAACUGUUCAAAGGAAGGGGAUCACUUGUUGAGGGGUAGGACUGAGGUUUUUUUUAACUACUUUAUGCAGUCAGAUAGCCAUCCCUGUCACGUAAUAAGGUCGUUGUGUUUAACUGAAGAUGGUGGUUAAAUUUAAAAAGAAUAAUUGCUCCCGGCCCCUCUUUUUAUUAAGAGUGAAAAUUUGAUCGAACCAUUCCCCAAAGCACCAAGAAAUCUAAGUGAAAAUAGUAUGAUUUAGCUUGUGACCUGAUUUUUAUUGGUUUUAGUGGAGUUUAGGUGGACUUCUGCUAAUGUAUUAUGGCAUUUCACAACAAAGUUUUCUUUGCUUCCCAUAAAAGCAAACGGGAAACCCUGGUGAUGUUAUUAAUUUUAAUGAAAAACUUCCAUUGCAUAUCUGAGUUUUGUAAGAAAUACCCAUCUGCCAAUAAAGUUAAGGUAAAUAGCUGUCGUUCAGAUGUAGGUUCAAAACAGGGGAAGUCAGUUUCAGGAUAUAAAAAAACACAGUAAAAUAAACUAAAACCGGCUAAUUUAUUGUUCCAUUUGACUCUUUCUUUCUCCUUACGAUGUUCAAAAAUAAAGCAAUUCAAUCACAAGACUUAAGAGAAAGUGAAGAUAAUGAUAGUCUGUUUUUAUUAAGGUACAAAAGUCUUGCAAUAUCUGUCACAAGUCACAUAGCCAUUUUUUUUCUGAGUCAGACUUGAAAGGAAAUAAGUUUAACUCCUCCAUCUUAAUAACCAGAAUAUAAGCAUCAGGGACUUGUAUUUCACAAGCAUUAGAUUUCAUAGGUGUCAAUAAAAAUUUAGUGUUACAGUAAUAUUUUCUUUUUACAUGGUUAUUUUGAGCAAAAUACUCAUAACUGAAUGAAGUCGUAAGACGCCUUAAUUGCUAUGAGUUACACUGUAAAUUAAAAUAAGAUUUCCAAUACACUUUUCACAUGUUUAUUUCGUAUAUAUGCCUUUUCUUAGAAGCGGGGGCAGUUAAUCUUCCUCUCGUGUAAUCAAAUCAUAACUUAGAUCAGUUCAAUUCAGUACGUGUCCUAAAACUGAGUAGGUCAUUUUGGUGCAUGUCUGAAUAGACGCAUUUGUUCUGGAUGUUUGGAUUUACAUCAUCUGUUCUAGGCAGUGAAGCUGAUUGCUCCACCGAGUAUCCAGAUCAAACAGCGAAAGACCCCUGAAAGAUCCCUGAAGAGAGGCAGGUUUCAAGGGCAGACCACAGAGAGGUAGGUUUUAAGGGGGCUGGACACUGCCUGGGGGACAUGAGAUUCCCCGAAAAAGACUCAGCAGCCAAUUUGUCAGCAAACGCUGACCCCAUCUCCAUCCGCAAAUAGCUGGGCAAGCGUGCCCAGCUCAAGCAUGGGCCCAGACUCCCUCCCCCAGUGAAUGCACAGAUGUAGAUGGGAGGUAAUCUGGGGAUGUGGGUGUGGGGAGGCAGGUCUCACCUGUAGAGUAACUUGUCUCUUUCUACCUGAAGGUCGUCUUCUGGAGUUCCCACUUCUGGGAGCUUGUUGAGCCCAGCCUCUAAUUAGCGGAACAGGAAGUUUUAAUUAAAUGCUUCAGAAUCAACAGUUUUAUGUAUGAUCUUUAUCAACAUAGGAGUUGCUAACCACUGGCCCUCAAAGAUAAACAUUAAAGGCCUGAAAAUUAUGAGGGUUUGUGUCCCAACAUUGACUAUUGGAUUUGCCUUUUAGUCUUUAGAUAUUGUUGCUUCUUUUUGCUUCUUCCUCAUACAUUAAACAUUUGGGGAUUUUUAACAGAAGCUAGGAGUCUCAUGUUCUUGAUUCCAGUAGCUGGUGCUUUAGGAAGACCCAAUAUCAUAAAUUUGUGAUAAAAUUGGCAGUUUUGGCAACAGUGACUACGGGUGGAGUAAAAAUAGCUCAGUAAUCAUUCUGAGCCUGGAGAAAAGAUUCAUGCAAGGGAAGACCAAAAAGGAACUGAGUUUGUGAGGUGUACAGAGCUCUUAUACUCUUCUUUAGGUCUUCAGUGCUGUACAUGAAUGGAACCCUGUGACUACUGCUUUCGAGCGAACUUUCAGAGCUGUGUUGUAGUGGGAGGCCUAUCCUACAAGCACAAGAUAUGCAUAUGCUACUUUAAAGAAGAACCACAGCUCAUUUGCUUGAGGAAAAUAACACAAAGAAUUGACUCUAGCCUCUCUUUGCAUUUCCUCUUGGGACUUCAGUGAGCGCUGAUACAGUUGCAGGUAGAUUUCUUGCAAAACAAUUUGGGAGCAGCUCGGAACACACCAAACAAAUCCAUAAUACUAGAUUUUCCAGAAUUAUUCAGGAGCUUUCAUAUAGAUCUGGUCCCACUGCACAGAGCUCAACUUUAUCAGGAUAGCUUUUCUGGGGCAGAUUCCAACCAGAUUUCCUCAUGGGUUUGGGAUGAAUGUAGAGGGCACAUUAGAUGGCUGAUCAAUCUGCCAGAACUGCUCCAUGACAGUCUUCUCAAGGUGGUCAUUGUCUGCUCGUUUCUUUCUUCUUUCUGGUUCUCCUGUCGUCUUCCAAGGCAAUAUUUUUCUCACACGUGGAUCUCUUCCAGUUAUUCAGCAAUGGGGGAAAAAAAAUACAUAACACUGUAUUAAGGAAAGAGCUUGAUGCAGCAGUGCAGCAAGGGGGUUAUCUCUUGGUCAUUUUUUUCAUGGUGUUGUAAUUCUUGGUUCUACAUUUGCUGCAAACUUCUCUUCCUCAUGUGGCUUCUUCUUGGCUUCCUUCUCUUUUUAAUGUACUGUCCUCACAACUCCUCUUCCCCAAGGCCAUGCUUUCUUAAUGUAUGUUAGCUCUGACAGGGAAACUAGAUGACCAAAUUCCUAUUCUUCCCCCUAGCUACUCACCAUAUCAUCCCCCCGGUCUCUCAUCCAGUUAGUACAGAGUCUUUAGGCUCCAACACACUACUGCUCCUCUUUUUUCAGUCACUGCCUGCGGGGCUAUUGCUGCAGUUUGAGGACUUGUAGGAAGGAAGUAGCACUAUUUUGGUUUUUUAUUGUGAUUGCAUUUCUGUGAUUGGUAUUUUUUACCUCUUGGUACAAAAAACCACACCAACGCGUUGAUUAGAAGUUCAGCAUUUGCAAAUUCUUUGGCUGUAUCACAUCCUGAUAUCACAGCCCUAUAAACAUUGACUGGUUGGUAUAGCUCUCGGUUCCUGAAAUCACCCAUGAAGGGGGGUUACUUCCACCCCUGCAGAGGGACAGCACUGAAGCGUCUUAGAAAUGUCAGGAUCACUGCUAUGAGUAGCUACAACUGAAACAUACUGGAAUUUCUUUAGAGCCACAGAAAAAAUAGGCUGUUGAGUGGAUUUCAAGAGAUCACAUAGGUCAUGCUCUCCUGUGAGGCAGUCUGAGUGCAUCAGGGUCAGUCCUGAUGGACAUCUGCACAGCUGCUUCCUAAAGACCUCAUGCGGUGGAUGGGCCAUGACGGCCCUAAGCAACCUAUUCCCGCACGUUGCUGUCUGCACCGUGUUAGUCUGAGUCAAGUUAGUCAACUUGAAUCGCCGUUUCUGUAGUUUAACCCCGUUACACCUUGUUCCGUUCACGAUAAUUGUGAAGCUGCGUGUCCCCUUUUCAGCAGACUUUUAGGAGCCUUAAUAAAAAAUCAGAUUUUCCCCUCGGUCUUCUCCAGGAUAAAAGCCCCAUGGGCAAUACUGUCUAGACCUCUGAUCAAAUUUGCAUCUUCACUGGCGUUUUCUGACUAGAGUGUCCUUUUCCUGAAGCAGAGCACCCCGGACUGGACACAGUACCUCAGCUGAGGCCUUCCCAGAGCUGAGUAGAUAGGACUCACUCACCUUCUUGGGAGGAUGUACUCUUGCAUCAAAGCUACUGAUGAUUGCUUACAAAUCGAAUUCCUGAUUGACAUCUAAGAAAAGAAGAUCCUGAAAAAGUCCAGAAUCGUGUCUACCGCUGCCUUUGGAUAAAGAUGCAAGAGUCCUGUGUAAAUACACGGAGGCCACAGAGACCUAUGGGAGCCCCGUGGGAGACCCACCCAGAGAGCGAAGACCCGGGACCACGGUAUUCGGACCCCCGCCCUCGCUCCAAAUCUGCUGGUUCGGGGCCUGGAGCCAUGCAGCGGUGCCUGCGCCGUGCUAAGGGGGUAAGUGGGUUUGUGGAGGUCUGGUGCCGCACGGGCACGGUGCUUUUCCGUCGGGCUUCCCGCUGGUCCAGGCGCCCGUCGGCGCUCCUCACGCCAGUGGGACGCAAGGAUGCCUGAAGGCAGGGAGAAGUCUGCGGGCACUACCUGCCGGAGGCCGUCCAGCUCAUCCGUUGCUUUAUGUCAGUCAUUCCUUUAAGUUAAAAACAUUUUAAUGGGCCAUUCUCGGUAGUUUCAGCUGGGAAGGCAUCAGAUAAUCUGCAAGCGGCAGAUAACCUGGAGAGCGCAUAAGUAUCCAGGGAGGAACUGUGGGAAGCGGUGGUCCAGAGAGAUCGUCACGUGUGUAGCACCCAGCAAAUGAGAUCUGCUUGUUGGAUGAGAGCUGGCAGUAAAUCGAUGCAAAUUUGAGCUGGGAGAGCACAGGGUAAGGGUCAUUUCUUUCCACGCAGCCCUGGUGUGGAGGGGGUCUCCUGCAGUACCACCCCGCCGCUCUUGGCCUUCAGUGCCUACAUCACCUGGGAAGGGGGUUCAGGAGCCCCUGAGCCUCUCAGGUGUUUGAAAAACCUUAUCCUAUAUAGCUUUUUGGCUACAGUCUCUAAUAGGAUACAGCAGGGAAUUUGUGUCCCUGAAGUAAUUUAGAAGUUGUUUGGAACAAAAACCAGAAAAUAACAAUUUAGGUCUCCAGAAUAAUUCUUUACGAGACAAAAUAGCUGCAGUUUAACGUGGGAGGAAGAGAAACCAAGCCAGUAGUAGGUCCAGAGCAGCCACGAACGAAUGUGCUACGUGUCAGGUGGUGAUAUAUCCAGAACAGCACUAGACCUGUAUGUCUCCACUGUGGUGUAGGUAUGGCUGCAGUUCAUUUAGGGCUAACUGCACGUGUGGGAUGCAGCCUGGUGUGUGUGUGUCCCCGGGGGGGAUAAAUACGUCCCCCCACUCCGCUCCCCGCAGAGCUAUACUCAGUGGGUACCGGAGCUCCAUCUCGUUUGAAAGUGAGGUGGGUGCCUAUGUAUGUUAGCUGUGGCUAUAUGUGUAACCACUGUGCUGGCAUGCCCCAUGCCUGCUGUAGAGAAAAUAACAUUUCUAUCAGAUAACUUUGUAUUUUUUUUUUACACAGAGGGAGGUAUGAGCAGCAAAAGAUACUGGUCACUGUGGCCCUGAAAUAUUCUCUUAACCAAAGUCGUCAGCCACCGUAUCUCUAGUUAAGGACUAGCUUUUCAUAAAAUACUCUUCCAAGCAAAGUUUUGAAAUUAUUAAAACCGUGCUGGAAAAAAAAUUGGUGUUGUAUUUUAAAAAGUGGUAAUUCAAUUUGCAUAUAUUAUCUAAGUACCUCUGUGUGUGUGUACACGUAACUGUAUUCUUUCCCUGUGUGUGUGUCUGUAUGUAAACAGGCUCAAACCCCACUGAGUUUUCUUUAAAGCCAGUCGUGAUCAAGAAUUUUUUAGAGAGUGGUUAAUUCUUGCCUGUUUGAGCAGGAAAUAAUAUUUCCUUAUGUUCUAAAUGAGAUAGGUCUCCAGAUAAAAAUGAUGAUAAUAUAGUUAACACACACAAAACCCCUUAUUUACAAAGAAAAGACAAAGCAGCGUGUUUUGAUUCAACAGACUAUUUACAACUCUCUUUGCACUUUUUUAUUAUUUCCUUUGUUUUGGCAUUUUAGCUAGUGCCUAAGAAAUGGAUUGUCUCUGAUGCUGAUAUAUUGUUACACAGCCAUUUGCUUAGAGAAAGAAACAUCUAUUUAACUACAUGUAAAGGAAAUUAAAGAGCAAGAACAGUCUUAGCUGCAGUAUUUUCCAUAGCCUUGAAAACCUUCAGCCGGAGUCUCAGCUACUAUAAAUUGGCAUAAACUCCAAUAUCUUAAAACUGCGUUGGUUUAUGUGACCCGAGGAGAUGACCUCUGGGAUUUGUGGGACCACUGUAUAAAUACCAGAGCUUUCAACCUGCCAGGGUCAAAAUAUAUAAUGCUUUUGGUCCAGUCCUGGCUCCAUGCUUAUGUGUCACGCCUUGAUUUCAGCAGCAGAGGGGAGAAGGGAGCCUUCAGCAGCUCUGCGCUUCUCCCCAGCAAAACCCCUACCAGGGGGUUGCCAUUUUCAUCUUGCAUAUGAGGAAACUGAUGAAGAGAGCAGCAGUCUCCUUACUGCCGUGCUAAAAAAAAAUAUAA
Aquila chrysaetos chrysaetos is the source of this 11647-nucleotide long non-coding RNA. RefSeq lists it as uncharacterized. The record is from RefSeq and is a predicted model, not a curated record. The transcript has 2 exons. Lineage: Eukaryota; Metazoa; Chordata; Aves; Accipitriformes; Accipitridae.